This 301-nucleotide ribosomal RNA is filed under the name uncultured bacterium. RNAcentral describes it as "partial 16S ribosomal RNA". It matches the Rfam family "Bacterial small subunit ribosomal RNA", at positions 509 to 807 of the family's 1533-position model. The record is from RNAcentral.
CAGCAGCCGCGGGAAUACGAAGGGGGCUAGCGUUGCUCGGAAUUACUGGGCGUAAAGCGUGCGUAGGCGGUUCGUUAAGUCUGUUGUGAAAGCCCCGGGCUCAACCUGGGAAUGGCAAUGGAUACUGGCGAGCUAGAGUGUGUCAGAGGAUGGUGGAAUUCCCGGUGUAGCGGUGAAAUGCGUAGAGAUCGGGAGGAACAUCAGUGGCGAAGGCGGCCAUCUGGGACAACACUGACGCUGAGGCACGAAAGCGUAGGGAGCAAACGGGAUUAGAUACCCGGGUAGUCCCUGUCUCUUAUAC